CUUGCAGCCUGUGAGCACUGCUGUGCCAUUAGCUAGAUUUGGGAUGCUCACAGAUGAGGUAUGGCCAGCAAUUUGAGAAGAGCAGCCCCAUGAAUAAAGCUCCCUACCUAGGCCUCUGCUGGCCCUACUUGCUUCCCUCUGAGAGGAGCUUUGGAAAAAGACCCUGUCCUACAUGAAUGGAGUCUGCAAGCCAACUCAUCAGCCUCUCUUUCUGAUUAAGCAGGUGGAUGCUGUGCAUGGAAUGCCUGAAUCCCAGACAGCCUCUGUGUGUGUGUUGCAGUGCAGAUCUUGGAAGAUGUGCUCCCCUCCUGCAAACCCAGGGCAGUGACCCCCAUCCUCUCACAUCCUCGG
Long non-coding RNA from Oxyura jamaicensis (ruddy duck), 351 nucleotides. RefSeq lists it as uncharacterized. The record is from RefSeq and is a predicted model, not a curated record. NCBI's taxonomy places the organism in Eukaryota, Metazoa, Chordata, Aves, Anseriformes, Anatidae. The transcript is spliced from 3 exons.